AUUGAACGCUGGCGGCGUGCUUAACACAUGCAAGUCGUGCGGUAACAGGCGUAGCAAUACGUGCUGACGAGCGGCGAACGGGUGCGUAAUACAUGGGAAUCUGCCUUUUAGUGGGGAAUAACCCGGCGAAAGCCGGGCUAAUGCCGCAUAAGAUCUUCGGAUGAAAGCGGGGGAUCGUAAGACCUCGCGCUGAUAGAUGAGCCCAUGCCGGAUUAGCAGUUGGUGAGGUAACGGCUCACCAAGGCGACGAUCCGUAGCUGGUCUGAGAGGACGGCCAGCCACACUGGGACUGAGACACGGCCCAGACUCCUACGGGAGGCAGCAGUGGGGAAUAUUGGACAAUGGGGGAAACCCUGAUCCAGCGACGCCGCGUGUGUGAAGAAGGCCUGCGGGUUGUAAAGCACUUUCGGUGGGAACG
Molecule: ribosomal RNA, 418 nt
Filed under: uncultured bacterium
Lineage: Bacteria
Description: bacterial SSU rRNA
Rfam family: Bacterial small subunit ribosomal RNA
Source: RNAcentral